CUUCAUAGUCUUGCUACAUGUUCCUUCCUUUCUGCAGUUACGUUCAAUAAAAAGAUGCUCUCUCUGUCCGUUGUUUUUUGGUCAGAGCUGAAGAACAGAUUUUGGAAAGAAAGCUGUGUGGGCCUCAUGGUUUCAGUCCAUCCUGAAGGUUGAUUGAAUGAGAAGAAGGAGGCUUGUGAAAUUCCAAUCCUGGGCCUUUCUCCCUUUGGACAGCCAGGAAGUCUAAGAAUACGCACUAAGUUUUCCCAACAAAGACCUUGGGAGCUGCUCCCGGCUCCUCAGGCAGGCCUUGUGGACAAGUGCCAUCUGCGUCCCGGUGCCAGGGCUUCUUGUGAGCCUCUCACAUGCAGGCAUGGAGGAGAUGACAGCAGAGUUGACAGCCUGGUGCUCCUGAGCCUGGGAUCCAGUUUGGGAGACAGACUGAUAAUCAGGGUGGGGCCACACAGCAGACCUUCGUAUAACAGAGUUGUUGAAUCAUCAAGGCAACCAUGGUGUGGUCCUGCUUGGAGAGACUGAAAUCCAACAGUCGGAGCCUUGUCCCACAUCACAGAGGAG
RNAcentral lists this long non-coding RNA (555 nucleotides) under Capra hircus (goat). RNAcentral's name for it is "lncRNA (ENSCHIG00000004759.1)". Lineage: Eukaryota; Metazoa; Chordata; Mammalia; Artiodactyla; Bovidae. The record is from RNAcentral.